This 494-nucleotide ribosomal RNA is filed under the name uncultured bacterium. RNAcentral's name for it is "partial 16S ribosomal RNA". It matches the Rfam family "Bacterial small subunit ribosomal RNA", at positions 28 to 507 of the family's 1533-position model. The record is from RNAcentral.
GACGAACGCUGGCGGCGUGCUUAACACAUGCAAGUCGAACGGUGAAGCGCCUUCCUUUUUGGUGGGUGUGGAUGAGUGGCGAACGGGUGAGUAACACGUGAGUAACCUGCCCCCUUCUUCUGGAUAACCGCAUGAAAGUGUGGCUAAUACGGGAUAUUCUGGGUCUGUCGCAUGAUGGGUCUGGGAAAGAUAUUGUUUCGGUGGGGGAUGGGCUCGCGGCCUAUCAGCUUGUUGGUGGGGUGAUGGCCUACCAAGGCGGUGACGGGUAGCCGGUCUGAGAGGGUGGACGGUCACACUGGGACUGAGACACGGCCCAGACUCCUACGGGAGGCAGCAGUGGGGAAUAUUGCACAAUGGGCGCAAGCCUGAUGCAGCGACGCCGCGUGAGGGAUGGAGGCCUUCGGGUUGUGAACCUCUUUCGCCAGUGAAGCAGGCCUGCCUCGUUUGUGGGUGGGUUGACGGUAGCUGGAUAAGAAGCGCCGACUAACUACGUG